GAGGUUCUAGCUUAAUUAAAGCAUUUGAGUUGCAUUCAGAAGAUGAAGGUUAAUGUCCUUCGGGCCUUA
This 69-nucleotide transfer RNA is filed under the name Chlamydotis macqueenii (Macqueen's bustard). RNAcentral describes it as "Chlamydotis undulata macqueenii tRNA". It matches the Rfam family "tRNA". From Rfam's summary of the family: Transfer RNA (tRNA) molecules are approximately 80 nucleotides in length. The record is from Rfam by way of RNAcentral. Lineage: Eukaryota; Metazoa; Chordata; Aves; Otidiformes; Otididae.